GAUUUCUGGCUUGAUGUACCUGUCCCUCUUGGGUUAACCAGGCUGUGUGACGGAGUAUGUCUGCCAUCCUUCUAGAGAAUACAAGCUAUCCUUCACUGGACCGGUUUGUGUCAUCUAGAUCUUUUACUUUGAAAAAAUUAGAGUGUUUAAAGCAGGCUUGCGCUAUGAAUACAUUAGCAUGGAAUAAUAAUUUAGGACUUUGGUCUUAUUUUGUUGGUUUCUAGGACUAAAGUAAUGAUUGAUAGGGACAGUUGGGGGUGCUAGUAUUCAGCGGCCAGAGGUGAAAUUCUUGGAUUCGCUGAAGACUAACUUAUGCGAAAGCAUU
RNAcentral lists this ribosomal RNA (325 nucleotides) under uncultured Allapsidae. Its description in RNAcentral is "SSU rRNA". The stretch from base 56 to 325 matches the Rfam family "Eukaryotic small subunit ribosomal RNA", at positions 684 to 955 of the family's 1831-position model. The record is from RNAcentral. Lineage: Eukaryota; Cercozoa; Glissomonadida; Viridiraptoridae.